RNAcentral lists this ribosomal RNA (253 nucleotides) under uncultured bacterium. RNAcentral describes it as "partial 16S ribosomal RNA". It matches the Rfam family "Bacterial small subunit ribosomal RNA", at positions 524 to 776 of the family's 1533-position model. The record is from RNAcentral.
UACGGAAUGUGCAAACGUUAUUCGGAAUCACUGGGCUUAAAGAGUCCGUAGGCGGCUUGUUAGGUGAGGUGUGAAAUCCCACGGCUCAACCGUGGAAUUGCGCUUCAAACCGGCAAGCUUGAGGAGGAUAGAGGUGGGCGGAACUGAUGGUGGAGCGGUGAAAUGCGUUGAUAUCAUCAGGAACACCGGAGGCGAAAGCGGUCCACUGGGUCCUUUCUGACGCUGAGGGACGAAAGCUAGGGGAGCGAACGGG